AUGUCACAACCAACGAAAUCCAGCGUGGGAGGGGGGUCCCCCCGCCCCCCAGUUUCUAUCUGGCCGUGUGGGUCCUUGCACAACACCCCCGGCGGUCACAUCCUGGUGCCUGCGCUUCCCCCAGACGUGUUCAGCCUGCCCGAGAAUCCCCCCGCCCCAACAUGUAAAACGCGAAAACUUAGAUUGGCUGGUGCAGAGGGCAUCGCUGUCGGCAGAUUUCAGGUGACAUGCAAAGCAGAUUGGUUGCCAGGAAACAUGGAUUUAUUCCAUAUCUCACCUCUUCCCUUUUUCCGGAGCAUGAGGCUUUCUCAACAUCUGUCCCUCCUUCGUGUUUUUCAUGGUGCAGUAGGUAACUUAAGAUCUGAUGCUACAGAAUGUUGAGUACUCACAACUUCCAUGGAAGUCAAUAGGAUGCCUGGGCGGCGUGUGAACCGC
Molecule: long non-coding RNA, 435 nt
Filed under: Chrysemys picta bellii (western painted turtle)
Lineage: Eukaryota; Metazoa; Chordata; Testudines; Emydidae
Description: lncRNA (ENSCPBG00000009445.1)
Source: RNAcentral